RNAcentral lists this long non-coding RNA (1904 nucleotides) under Heterocephalus glaber (naked mole-rat). RNAcentral describes it as "lncRNA (ENSHGLG00100051664.1)". The record is from RNAcentral. Lineage: Eukaryota; Metazoa; Chordata; Mammalia; Rodentia; Bathyergidae.
GACGACUAAGGAGGGAAAGGUGGUGCUCCCAUCCACUGUAGCAGACACAUUGCUGUGAGAACUACAUGAGUCUACCCACUUCGGUGAGAAAAAGAUGAUGGUUGCCUUACAACCCCAUUUCGUCAGCCAGGGAUUAGCCCAAAAGGCCCAGGACAUGGUGAGAUGAUGCCCCACCUGCCUCAAGGUUUGAUUCCAAGACCCUGGAACCUCGUUGGAAGGGACCGGUUCCUGCUGUCCUGUCAGCUCCCUUGGCAGUGAAGAUGGCUGGACAUUCUGCCUGGAUACAUCGCAACCAUCUGAAAGCAGGACCCCCCAUGGACAUCAAAAAAGACAAAUGGAAGGUUAUUAGCCAACCAGGCAACCAAAAGCUAAUACUGGAACGGGUUGGAGAUGUUUCACCUUAAUGAUAGUAUUCUCUGGGACACUGGCAUUAUUGCCCCCAAAAGGACUAGAUCACAAAAAAAAUGUAUGGAUUCAAUUGGCAAACUUGCUUAACUUGUCUGAAUUCUGCUUAAAUGUUAAUGUAAAUUUCCUUUAUGUGCUGGGAAGCUGUCUCAUUCCGGUAUGCACCUCUUUAGAGUUAAUACAACCCUAUACCCUAUUUAAGGACAUCCCAGGAAAAAAAUCUUACUUACAUGGAUAGUUAUAAUUGGGGACAUGACACCUGCCAUAAACCUAAAAAUGCUGUCAAAUUAUAUACACCCAAGGUAAUUAUGUCAAACAAAACUGAAUGUGCUAUGUAUGAAAAUUAUACAACCAAGUGUCUGAGGAUAAAACAGUCAAAAGGGAUGUCCUGCCACAUAAAACAAAAAAAUUGUGUAUAACAAUUGCCAUAUCUCCCUGCCCAUAGGAUGGUUUUAUACCUGUGAAAAAAUAACCUUUAAUUAUAUUCCAGCAAAUUUAACCAAGACCUGUUGCUGUUUGAGUCGUCUAGAUGUAGUGUUGCCAGACAGGACUGAUUUGAUUGUGCCUAACAGAACUAAACGUUGGUCACCUUACACUACACCAGGAUGUGAUGAUGAUGUAGGUUUGUUAACAGAUGCUGAAGUAAUAACCAUGAUAGCAUCUUUUGUUGCCCUGCCUUCUAUAGGAGUCCAUGCUAAAAAGGCAGUGCGAAAAUUAGCUUGCAAGGUGGUCAAAGGGUUAAAUGCUACCUCAUCAACCUUGGCAUUAGUUAACCAAGAGUUACAGGAACAGAGACAGGCAAUCUUAGAUAAUAGAGCAGCAAUAGACUAUUUGUUGCUCCUCCACCACCAAGGUUGUGAAAGAGUAAAAAAUAUGUGUUGUUUCAAUCUUACCGAUAAUGGUCCAAAGAUCGAAGAAAAGGUAAAACAAUUAGAAGACCUGGCUAAAAAAAUAUAUAAUGAGGAUGGCGGGGACUUGUUCAAAUGGUUAACUUCGUGGCUGCUCAAUCUACAAUGGUUAAAACAACUUUUUGUUGUCAUCAUAGUUGUGUGUACAUGCUUAUUAUUGUCAUGUUGUUGUAUACAAUAGAUACCUACAUUUGUGCGUAAGAUUACUUAAGUUCCAAAAAAUCAGUGGGAAAUGUGGGACUGCAUAAUCUUUGUUCCCUUUUUCUCCAGCCCCAUUGUGAUUAAAAUGUGAGUUAAUGGAUAGAGAUGCUUGUUAGUUUAGAGACGCUAGAUAGAGAUCUGUAACAGACCUAGAGUCCCAGAGUAAACUACUCAACUCUUUGUUUACCCGAACUGAAAUUCCAGGCACCACAAUUGUUAGAACAAGCUGCAGAUGUCUGCUGACCAUCAAUAUGUGACAGUCGGCUGACCAUCAAUAUGUGACAGUCGACCACUAACCUUUGUCCCCUUUUCUUUAAUUCUAUAUGUUAACUUCCCCCUUAACCCCCUAUAAAAACAGCCUCGGAUUCUGAACCAGUUGUCUCUCUAAGC